RNAcentral lists this long non-coding RNA (3124 nucleotides) under Homo sapiens (human). RNAcentral's name for it is "HSALNT0039850". Lineage: Eukaryota; Metazoa; Chordata; Mammalia; Primates; Hominidae. The record is from RNAcentral.
UGAGAUCAGUUGCUGUCAUUGCAUUUAAUUUUCCAAUUGAGUGACUGUGGUUCCCACUGUAAGGUCUGCCCAGAGAGAAAAGCAAUGAAACAGCUCUUGAAGGAUGCUGGGGCUCCCCUCACAAACCCAUUUCUUACAAUAUUGGUGAAAGGUGUGUCUGGACUAGUGUGGGUAAGUAUGUCUAAAAUGGCAAAUCUACUCUAAUUCCAAUCUCUUCAAUUCCCUUCCUCUACAUUAAAACAAGGGAUAUCUGGCACCUCCAACUUGCUCAUUGUAGGCCGCCUUUUAAUCUGUUUCCCCUAACCAACUAAACUAUUAGGUCUUUUUUACACGCCCAGGGCUGCAGCAUUCAGUGCAGAAUCUCUGCUUAGUGGGCCCACAUCAAUACAUUUGGCCUGAUCCGACUUUAUGGUCUUUCCACCAUUAUCCUGCAUGUUUAAUGGAUCCUUAAGAUCCAUUUCCACACAUUUACUGGAUUUCUGCCUGUAUGAAUUAGAAAACUCAAGUAGUUCUUUUGGAUUGUGGCACACCUCCUCCUGGGUCCUGCUAUGUCCUCACCUUUGGGGGCCUGCUGGGCCUUGAGUCUAGUUAUAGGUCUAGUAAAGACAGGUGGGUCCUAAGGAAACUCAGCAUUGUCUUGCAUGACAACUGCCUCAGGGGAGGUCUUUAUCAUUUCCUCCAGCAAUGCAGGGUUAAUCUCCUCAGGCCAAGGCCAACACCACGAAGGGUGUGAAGGCUGCUUCCCCUGGGGAUGGGGAGGCUAGUUUUGCUGUGGAUGGGAAGACAACUCCCGUGGGCAAAGAGAAUUCAUCAGAAUUUAGGAGCUCAAUGUCUCCCAGUUUCAUCAGGAUAUUCCCAUACACCCCCAUCCCAAUUUACAGGUUGUCAUCCUCUCCCAAUCAAUACCCUCACUUUAAUAGUAGACAUCCUGGGAGGCUGGGAGUUCAGCUUUUGCUGUAAUUCAGCCAGUCACAUGGUGAGGACUUGUGUUUGAUUUUCAGCAGUUUCAACCCUGUGGCUACAGAGGGUCAUCCCUCAUGGUGGCCCUGACAGGGCGUGGGGGAGAGAGGCUAGGGCAUCUGUGGUCUUCUUUUGGGAGAUAUGGGGCUCACCCUCUGCACUUUGCCUAAGCUGCAUCCCACACUUUCUGGGCAACCUCCUAUGUCUCAACUCCUGGCCCUGCUGUGCCCCCAGAAGGCUCCUCUUGACAGGCCACCCUCUUAGGCAGGGUCCUUUUGGGAUGACUCACACCUGAUACCUUGAGGACCAGCAUCACUUGCAACCUUGUCUGUCCACACGGUGCACCUGAAGCGUCUCCACUGCCAGCCCUCUUCCCAGCUUUUCCAGCAACGGAUGUCCAUAGCCUGCCCUCCUACCCAGGAGUGGUGUCCAUCUCUGUCUCAGGGAUGCUACUGGUCUGUUUGCUCACAGCAGGGAUGGGCCUGCGAGUGCCGGCGCUGAGCAGGCAGCCUGCAGCCCUGAGCCGGCUCCCACUUCAGGGCCAUAGAGGGCGGGGAAGGGGGCAGGGCCUGGCAGAGGCUGGAGAUGCUUGGAUGGGGGCCAACAGCAGGGGGAUGGGGGAAGGCAGCGCCUAGCAGCUAUCCUUGAAAUGAGUGUUUUCGCAGCCAAAGCUCAGGUGUAGGCCCACUCCCCCAUGCCACGGCCUUUUGAACAUGUGGAACCAGGACUCGGAACGUCCUGUUUUAAAGUGGGAGGUGGGCUGUCACUGGCAGGCGAGAGCUGCCGCCGCGCCUCUGCGAGGCUCCCCAUUCCUGCGACCCUAUCACAUGUGGAAGGUGGGUGGGAGGGUGGUGGCGCGGUUGAUCUGAUCUCUGUCCCAAAUAAGGCUCUUGAGGAGGACGCAGGGCACUUCCAGGGCGAGGGUGCCGCUGGGCUCUGACAAGCCCUUUGGGGACUCGUGGAGUCGUGGGAAUGCCAGCUGACUCAGCGAGGGCGGCCUUGGCCACAGCAAGGUCGCUGUUCACUGAAGAUGUGAGGAGUGCGCUGGCCGCAGCAGCCCAGGUGGCCCCUUGCCUGCCUGGCCAAUCAAGGGUGGCAUGUGAAUGCCACCAGCCAACAAGCACAGGGACCACACAGCGACCUGCUCACUAGCUGUAAAUGCCACCAUUAUGAUUGGAAUUGUAUGUCCCCCAACUCACAUGUUGAAGCCCUAGCCUCAGUACCUCAGAAUGGGGCUGUGUUUGGAGGUAGGGCCUUUAGAGAGGUGACUCAGUUACAUCGAGGCCUUCAGGGUGAGCCCUCCAUUCAGUGUGACUGGGGUCCUGAAAAGAAGACAAUGUUUGGGCAUUCAGAAAGACACAGGACCACAGGCUGUGUGUGCACAGAAGAAAGGCCACGAGAAGGUGACCAUCUGCAAGCCACAGAGGGAGACCUCGGGGGAACCGACUCUGCCGGCACCUUCAUUGUGAACCUGCAGCCUCCAGAGCUGUGAGAAAUACAUUUCUGUUGUUUAAGCCUCCCAGUCUGUAGUAUGUUGUUAUGGCAGCUGGAGUGAACUAGCACAGCCACUGGAGUUUGGCCAACAAGCACACUGAAGCCAUGAGAAGUGAACCAUUUGUUUCAGAGAAGUGUAAUCAAGCCAAAAAGAAAACAAUCUCCCUUAGCACUCAGGGUGAACGCCAACCUUGAGCUGACUGUCAUUGUGGAAAACUGGGGCCUUCUUGACUGACCUAACUGGACAGAUGGCGAUGGAGGAGGAGGCUGUGCUGACACAUUCGGCUGAGCUCCUGCCUGUGCUUCCCAGCAGCUGCCCACACCAGCCACAGGGAUCACGCCCAACCUGCCUGGAGCACCGGUGAGACGUACGGAGCCAUAAGGAGAGACUUCUGCAUUCUGGUGACCAACUGACUCCACCUGGACCCGUGAUUCCUGACUCAACAGGUCCUGUGGCCCCCACCCAGAAGUUGACUUAGCACAUGAGGACCAUUUUCCACAUCCCUAUGACUUCAUCCCCAGUCAGCAUCAUCCAUUCCCUAGCCCCCUGCCUGACAAUUUAUCCAUAAAAACUCUAGCCUCUGAAUUCUCAGGGAGGUUGAUUUGAGUAAUAAACUCCAUCUUCCAAUUGGCUAGCCCUGUGUUAAUUAAACUCUUUUUUAAAUUAUUU